GGGCCUAUAGCUCAGGUGGUUAGAGCGCACGCCUGAUAAGCGUGAGGUCGCUAGUUCAAUUCUAGCUAGGCCCA
This 74-nucleotide transfer RNA is filed under the name Candidatus Eiseniibacteriota bacterium. RNAcentral's name for it is "tRNA-Ile". It matches the Rfam family "tRNA". From Rfam's summary of the family: Transfer RNA (tRNA) molecules are approximately 80 nucleotides in length. Their secondary structure includes four short double-helical elements and three loops (D, anti-codon, and T loops). Further hydrogen bonds mediate the characteristic L-shaped molecular structure. tRNAs have two regions of fundamental functional importance: the anti-codon, which is responsible for specific mRNA codon recognition, and the 3' end, to which the tRNAs corresponding amino acid is attached (by aminoacyl-tRNA synthetases). tRNAs cope with the degeneracy of the genetic code in two manners: having more than one tRNA (with a specific anti-codon) for a particular amino acid; and 'wobble' base-pairing, i.e. permitting non-standard base-pairing at the 3rd anti-codon position. Lineage: Bacteria; Candidatus Eiseniibacteriota. The record is from RNAcentral.